Non-coding RNA from Corchorus olitorius, 83 nucleotides. NCBI's taxonomy places the organism in Eukaryota, Viridiplantae, Streptophyta, Magnoliopsida, Malvales, Malvaceae. The record is from Rfam.
GCUGGUUUGCCCGAGAGGUUAAGGGGGUAGACUUAAGAUCUACUGUACAUAAGUACGCAUGGGUUCGAACCCCAUAGCCAGCA